Aedes albopictus (Asian tiger mosquito) is the source of this 75-nucleotide non-coding RNA. The record is from Rfam. Lineage: Eukaryota; Metazoa; Arthropoda; Insecta; Diptera; Culicidae.
GACUCCGUAGCUUGUAGGAAUAGAAGCGCCCGUCUAGCGAAUUGGGAGUCGUGAGUUCGAGUCUCACCGGAGUAC